This 497-nucleotide ribosomal RNA is filed under the name uncultured bacterium. Its description in RNAcentral is "partial 16S ribosomal RNA". It matches the Rfam family "Bacterial small subunit ribosomal RNA", at positions 28 to 507 of the family's 1533-position model. The record is from RNAcentral.
GAUGAACGCUGGCGGCGUGCCUAAUACAUGCAAGUCGAGCGAACAGACGAGGAGCUUGCUCCUUUGACGUUAGCGGCGGACGGGUGAGUAACACGUGGAUAACCUACCUAUAAGACUGGGAUAACUUCGGGAAACCGGAGCUAAUACCGGAUAACAUGUUGAACCGCAUGGUUCAACAGUGAAAGACGGUUUUGCUGUCACUUAUAGAUGGAUCCGCGCCGCAUUAGCUAGUUGGUAAGGUAACGGCUUACCAAGGCAACGAUGCGUAGCCGACCUGAGAGGGUGAUCGGCCACACUGGAACUGAGACACGGUCCAGACUCCUACGGGAGGCAGCAGUAGGGAAUCUUCCGCAAUGGGCGAAAGCCUGACGGAGCAACGCCGCGUGAGUGAAGAAGGUCUUCGGAUCGUAAAACUCUGUUAUUAGGGAAGAACAAAUGUGUAAGUAACUAUGCACGUCUUGACGGUACCUAAUCAGAAAGCCACGGCUAACUACGUG